Piliocolobus tephrosceles (Ugandan red Colobus) is the source of this 862-nucleotide long non-coding RNA. RefSeq lists it as uncharacterized. NCBI's taxonomy places the organism in Eukaryota, Metazoa, Chordata, Mammalia, Primates, Cercopithecidae. The record is from RefSeq and is a predicted model, not a curated record. The transcript has 3 exons.
GCGAAGAUGCGCGAGAAGGUGUGGGGGCGCGGGGGCACCGUGGCGCGCGCCGGCGUGGGACGGGGACAGCGGGCGCGCGCGAGCCCGGCAAGGGCAGCCGGCGGCGCGCGGGCCCAAGGGGACUGGGCAGUGCCCAGAGCCCGGCGGGGCGGGGCGCGACGGGUAAGGGCGGCCCACACCCCCGCCCUACCCCCUCACCGUGGCCUUGGCUGUGAGCACUAACGCCUCCUGGUUGAUGCUGGACACCUCGGGGGAGCUCUUCAUGAUGACCCGGAUGCGGGAUAGAGGCAGCGAGAUGAGCCGCUGCUCCGCGCACUUGUCUUUGCCCACGACCACGUCCGCCAUCUUCCCGCCCCUCGCGCGGGCGGCAGCCGGCGGGCCCGACCGCGAAGUGGCUGCCCUGCCGGCCAGCCGGUGGGUGCGGGGAGCCGUGCCCGCUGCCCCGUGGGAGUUGUAGUGUGGGGAGGCGCCGCCGCGAGGCCUGGAGCGGCCCGUCCGGGAGACUACGAGCUCCGUGAUGCCUCGCGCGCCCCAUCUGCGCAUGCGCCCCCCCUCGGCCCACACCCCCCCGCCCCUCCCCCACCGAGUGUGUGACCCGACGUGGAGCCAGGAGCCCAGAGCCUAGUGAGGGGCGGGGACCGGGGCGUUGCGGGGCCGCGCCCUUCUCUGGAGUCUCUGGGCUGCGGUCGCGGACUACGACUUUGAUCCGGCUGUCAAAGAAGAACAGAACCGACCUGCAGGGCAGCGUGAGAACAGAGCCAGCCAGUGUGAAGAGGGGUCUCCAGAGCUUGGCGCAGAGCUCACAGCAGAGUUUUGCUGUUGUUGCCCAGGCUGGAGUGCACUGGUGCGAUCUCAGCCUUUC